GACGAACCGUGCGAACGUUAUUCGGAAUCACUGGGCUUAAAGCGCGUGUAGGCGGAUGGGAACGUCGGACUCUGAAAGCCCCCGGCUCAACCGGAGAAGUGGAUCCGAAACGACCCGUCUGGAGGGACGUAGGGGGACCUGGAACUUCCGGUGGAGCGGUGAAAUGCGUUGAGAUCGGAAGGAACGCCCGUGGCGAAAGCGAGGUCCUGGACGUCUGCUGACGCUGAGACGCGAAAGCUAGGGGAGCGAACGGG
RNAcentral lists this ribosomal RNA (254 nucleotides) under uncultured bacterium. RNAcentral describes it as "partial 16S ribosomal RNA". It matches the Rfam family "Bacterial small subunit ribosomal RNA", at positions 524 to 776 of the family's 1533-position model. The record is from RNAcentral.